RNAcentral lists this long non-coding RNA (288 nucleotides) under Ananas comosus (pineapple). RNAcentral describes it as "long non-coding RNA (ACOM_LNC006324)". Lineage: Eukaryota; Viridiplantae; Streptophyta; Magnoliopsida; Poales; Bromeliaceae. The record is from RNAcentral.
AGAAAUUUUUUUUUUUUAUUUUAUUUUAUUUUUUUAGAAAGAGGUAGCAUUGAACAAAUGAACUAGGCUACAGGGGUGAGGCAACUGAGGCCUUUGACAGAAAGCGCGAUUAAAAAAAAAAAAAAAGCAGGGCAUUAGAAAUUAAAUUGUCUUCAUAAAGUAGAGCAUGUACUGUAUAUUUGAGAGAGAAAAAUAGCAGACUAUUCGUUUUUUUUUUUUUUUAAGAGAAAAACUUAGUUAUAAAUAUAAAACAAUUUAGUUUCGAACUCGAAACUUUAGAUGCCAAUU